UUAGGAUUUGAAUCCUGCGUAACCGCAACGGAAACGAUUCCUGGAAGAUAGUUAAGUCUUAUUUCUAAAACCAUUCUCUAAUUUUCUUCUUAUUUCAGAAUACUUUGACUCUGGCAGUUUGAACUUUGAACUUUCAAAUGCAUUCUCAGACGUUAUCGAAGCUUUUGGCCUUUGGCAAAUUUGAUUCUGUUGAAAUCGAAUCCUUUCGUUGAAAUCCC
RNAcentral lists this long non-coding RNA (218 nucleotides) under Ananas comosus (pineapple). RNAcentral's name for it is "long non-coding RNA (ACOM_LNC015189)". Lineage: Eukaryota; Viridiplantae; Streptophyta; Magnoliopsida; Poales; Bromeliaceae. The record is from RNAcentral.